This 55-nucleotide ribosomal RNA is filed under the name Aspergillus insuetus. RNAcentral describes it as "partial 28S ribosomal RNA". Lineage: Eukaryota; Fungi; Ascomycota; Eurotiomycetes; Eurotiales; Aspergillaceae. The record is from RNAcentral.
GCGUCUCCAACCUUCUAUUUUACCAGGUUGACCUCGGAUCAGGUAGGGAUACCCG